AAUUUUAAUUCCAUUCCAUUUUUUUCAGAGUUCUCAGCCAUAAUCCUUUGACAACAGUUGAAGAUUCGUAUCUUUAUAAAUUACCAGCGCUGAGAUACUUAGACCUGGGAACAACACAAGUGUCACUUACAACGGUUGAAAGUAUCCUCAUGAUGACCCUUGAAUUGGAAAAGCUGAUCUUGCCUAGCCAUAUGGCCUGCUGCCUCUGCCAAUUUAAAAGUAGCAUUGAAGUUGUCUGCAAGACAGUCAAGCUGCAUUGUGACAGAUGCCUGA
Phacochoerus africanus (Common warthog) is the source of this 273-nucleotide long non-coding RNA. RefSeq lists it as uncharacterized. The transcript is spliced from 3 exons. The record is from RefSeq and is a predicted model, not a curated record. NCBI's taxonomy places the organism in Eukaryota, Metazoa, Chordata, Mammalia, Artiodactyla, Suidae.